RNAcentral lists this ribosomal RNA (1380 nucleotides) under uncultured bacterium. RNAcentral describes it as "16S ribosomal RNA". It matches the Rfam family "Bacterial small subunit ribosomal RNA". The record is from RNAcentral.
UUCGCCCUUAGAGUUUGAUCCUGGCUCAGGACGAACGCUGGCGGCACGCUUAACACAUGCAAGUCGAACGAGAGAAGAGAAGCUUGCUUUUCUGAUCUAGUGGCGGACGGGUGAGUAACACGUGAGCAAUCUGCCUUUCAGAGGGGGAUACCGAUUGGAAACGAUCGUUAAUACCGCAUAAUAUAAUUGAACCGCAUGAUUUGAUUAUCAAAGAUUUAUCGCUGAAAGAUGAGCUCGCGUCUGAUUAGCUAGUUGGUAAGGUAACGGCUUACCAAGGCGACGAUCAGUAGCCGGACUGAGAGGUUGAUCGGCCACAUUGGGACUGAGACACGGCCCAGACUCCUACGGGAGGCAGCAGUGGGGAAUAUUGCACAAUGGAGGAAACUCUGAUGCAGCGAUGCCGCGUGAGGGAAGAAGGUUUUAGGAUUGUAAACCUCUGUCUUCAGGGACGAAAAAAGACGGUACCUGAGGAGGAAGCUCCGGCUAACUACGUGCCAGCAGCCGCGGUAAUACGUAGGGAGCGAGCGUUGUCCGGAAUUACUGGGUGUAAAGGGAGCGUAGGCGGGAUCGCAAGUCAGAUGUGAAAACUAUGGGCUUAACCCAUAAACUGCAUUUGAAACUGUGGUUCUUGAGUGAAGUAGAGGUAAGCGGAAUUCCUAGUGUAGUGGUGAAAUGCGUAGAUAUUAGGAGGAACAUCAGUGGCGAAGGCGGCUUACUGGGCUUUAACUGACGCUGAGGCUCGAAAGCGUGGGGAGCAAACAGGAUUAGAUACCCUGGUAGUCCACGCCGUAAACGAUGAUUACUAGGUGUGGGGGGACUGACCCCUUCCGUGCCGCAGCAAACGCAAUAAGUAAUCCACCUGGGGAGUACGACCGCAAGGUUGAAACUCAAAGGAAUUGACGGGGGCCCGCACAAGCAGUGGAGUAUGUGGAUUAAUUCGAAGCAACGCGAAGAACCUUACCAGGUCUUGACAUCGUAUGCAUAGCUCAGAGAUGAGUGAAAUCUCUUCGGAGACAUAUAGACAGGUGGUGCAUGGUUGUCGUCAGCUCGUGUCGUGAGAUGUUGGGUUAAGUCCCGCAACGAGCGCAACCCUUACUGUUAGUUGCUACGCAAGAGCACUCUAGCAGGACUGCCGUUGACAAAACGGAGGAAGGUGGGGAUGACGUCAAAUCAUCAUGCCCCUUAUGACCUGGGCCUCACACGUACUACAAUGGCUGUUAACAGAGGCAUGCAAGGCCGCGAGGUGGAGCGAACCCCUAAAAGCAGUCUUAGUUCGGAUUGUAGGCUGCAACCCGCCUACAUGAAGUCGGAAUUGCUAGUAAUCGCAGAUCAGCAUGCUGCGGUGAAUACGAACCCGGGCCUUGCACACACCGCCCGUCA